RNAcentral lists this ribosomal RNA (460 nucleotides) under uncultured bacterium. Its description in RNAcentral is "SSU rRNA". It matches the Rfam family "Bacterial small subunit ribosomal RNA", at positions 26 to 518 of the family's 1533-position model. The record is from RNAcentral.
AGAACGAACGCUGGCGGCAGGCUUAACACAUGCAAGUCGAGCGCGCCCUUCGGGGUGAGCGGCGAACGGGUGAGUAACGCGUGGGAACGUGCCCCUUUCUUCGGAAUAGCCUCGGGAAACUGGGAGUAAUGCCGAAUACGCCCAUUUAGAGUGAUCCAUUUGGGGAAAGAUUUAUCGGAGAGGGAUCGGCCCGCGUUGGAUUAGGUAGUUGGUGGGGUAAUGGCCUACCAAGCCGACGAUCCAUAGCUGGUUUGAGAGGAUGAUCAGCCACAUUGGGACUGAGACACGGCCCAAACUCCUACGGGAGGCAGCAGUGGGGAAUAUUGGACAAUGGGCGAAAGCCUGAUCCAGCCAUGCCGCGUGAGUGAUGAAGGCCCUAGGGUUGUAAAGCUCUUUCAACGGUGAAGAUAAUGACGGUAACCGUAGAAGAAGCCCCGGCUAACUUCGUGCCAGCAGCCGC